This is an RNA transcript of Salvia splendens (bonfire salvia), 1017 nucleotides long. RefSeq lists it as uncharacterized. NCBI's taxonomy places the organism in Eukaryota, Viridiplantae, Streptophyta, Magnoliopsida, Lamiales, Lamiaceae. The transcript has 2 exons. The record is from RefSeq and is a predicted model, not a curated record.
GGCGUUUCAAAUGGCAUCCAGCGCCGCCGCCUACCCCCAAAAUCCAAGAGAAUCACCCCGACCUCUUCAAUUCCAUCAGAUUCCGCUUCCAAGAAACUGGACAAACACACACUCAAAUUGGACACAACUCUCACAUCAGUUACUUCACUUUUCUUUUUCCAUAUUUUUUGUACUAUUUCAUUUGGAAUAAUGGAGUACUCCUAUUUUUGUAUUUAUAGAAACAGUAGUAAUGCAGUUUUGGAGGAAGAGAUUCAAGAUUUGACUCUAAAGUUAGACGAAUUGCAGUACAAGUUGAGAAUCAAAGGUUCUACUCAUUUCCACAGCACAAACAUUCUUAAACAGACCACCCUUUCCGAUUCCACAAAUCAUAACAUGAAGAGGAAGCAAGGGCACAAGAGAACAAAUGCUCGGGGCGUUGCAAGGCCGUGGUGCUAAGGAUAGUCGAGCAAGUGAGGGCGGAGGCAGAGCAGUGGUCCCAAAUGCGGACAAUGCUGGAGCAAGUCCGUCCGAGGAGAGAUGGAAGAACUGCAGGCAUCCCGUGAUUACUGGGAAACUCGAGCCUACACCUCCGAGUUCCAGAUUCAAUCCCUUCGCCAUUCAGUAAGCUAGGAAUCUAAAAUCACAAAAUAUAGGUGGAGGAAUGGAAACAGAAAGCUCUUGACUACGAAAAGGAGGUUCAUGAACUUAAAAACAAGGUAUCUAUGAAGAUGGAAGCAGAGAAUAAUCAGAAAAGAGGAGUGCCGCUUCUCUCUCUAGCAAAACAGCUUGCUAAGGAGAAGAGGUCGUUUCUCAAGGAAAAGACGAGUAGGCGAUACUCAAGUAUCUUUGCCUCCUCUGAUCGGAGGGAGAUUGGAAACUCGAGGCAAAACCAUAGAGCAGCGUUUGAUUAUCAUAGCCCAGAAAGAUAUAGAAUAAGAGAAAGCUUUAGAAAGUGAUGGAGAGUUUAGGCCAUAUUUCAUUCUAAGUUUGAGUUAUACAGUUUUUUGGUGCAAGUAUCAAUAAAUUUAAUUUAACCCA